This 69-nucleotide transfer RNA is filed under the name Candidatus Berkelbacteria bacterium. RNAcentral describes it as "tRNA-Val". It matches the Rfam family "tRNA". From Rfam's summary of the family: Transfer RNA (tRNA) molecules are approximately 80 nucleotides in length. Their secondary structure includes four short double-helical elements and three loops (D, anti-codon, and T loops). Lineage: Bacteria; Candidatus Berkelbacteria. The record is from RNAcentral.
GGUUAGCUCAGUUGGUAGAGCAUCUCAUUUACACUGAGAGGGUCAGAGGUUCGAAUCCUCUACCACCCA